GAAGGUAUAGCUCAGCAGGAGAGCAAGUGCUUGGCAUGUAGGAGGUCUUGGGUUCAAUCCCCAGUACCUCCC
RNAcentral lists this transfer RNA (72 nucleotides) under Camelus bactrianus (Bactrian camel). It matches the Rfam family "tRNA". Rfam says of the family: Transfer RNA (tRNA) molecules are approximately 80 nucleotides in length. Their secondary structure includes four short double-helical elements and three loops (D, anti-codon, and T loops). Lineage: Eukaryota; Metazoa; Chordata; Mammalia; Artiodactyla; Camelidae. RNAcentral also lists the same sequence under 2 other names. The record is from Rfam by way of RNAcentral.